Saccostrea cuccullata (small rock oyster) is the source of this 763-nucleotide long non-coding RNA. RefSeq lists it as uncharacterized. NCBI's taxonomy places the organism in Eukaryota, Metazoa, Mollusca, Bivalvia, Ostreida, Ostreidae. The transcript is spliced from 3 exons. The record is from RefSeq and is a predicted model, not a curated record.
GGCUCGGCAGGUGACUCAUAGGUCUCCAAGGAUACCGUCAUCUUUAAAUCAGUUUUUUUAACCGCGCACUUUAACAAUUCAAAGCGUAUGUGUCUGUUUAAGUGAAAACAAGAAUUUUAAUCCUUUCAAUGAAUUGGCGGGCUUGAGCAGAGCAGAUAUGUCCGGAUCUGUAAGUGAACGCAAGAAUGUUAACCAGUGAAAUGAAUUGCCGGGAUGGAAAAACCCUCUUCACUCUUGAGACUAUUGAUGUGACAUUUCUGUAUAUGGAAGGGACUGAUUUAUAUGUGUGGGAAACAUGGAUUCUAAGAACAGAUAAACAACAGAAAAAGUGAUAAGUGAUGCAAAUAUGACCUUUCAAAACUCUACAGUUAGAACUUGAAGACUCUUAUAUCAAAGUGAUAUUUAGUAGUGGACAUAAUGAUGUGGAGUGUACUUGAGAAACAUUGAACUUUCUACCUCUUCCCUUUUUCAGUUACAUUCCAUGGAAUACUUUAAUGAAAGUGAAAGUGGCAAAGAAUAUAUUGUGAUACAUUUUAGGAGGAAAAAAGUAUUUGACCAAACAUGGUGAAAUUAAUUGUGUCGUAUAAUCUGGGAAAUAAAAAUUACAGAAUUUAAUUAAUUUUGUAAGACAUUUGUAUUGAGGAAUAAUUGUGUCAUUGAAAUUUCAAGAAACAGCUUUGUAUCAACGUUGAACCAACGUAAUAACUAUAUUUUGAACUGAGGUCCAAUGUAGGGCCAACGUUACAAAAUAUUUGGUUAGCAU